UACGGAGGGUGCAAGCGUUAUCCGGAUUCACUGGGUUUAAAGGGUGCGUAGGUGGGCAGUUAAGUCAGUGGUGAAAUCUCCGGGCUCAACCCGGAAACUGCCAUUGAUACUAUCUGUCUUGAAUAUCGUGGAGGUAAGCGGAAUAUGUCAUGUAGCGGUGAAAUGCUUAGAUAUGACAAAGAACACCAAUUGCGAAGGCAGCUUACUACCCGAAUAUUGACACUGAGGCACGAAAGCGUGGGGAUCAAACAGG
This 253-nucleotide ribosomal RNA is filed under the name uncultured bacterium. Its description in RNAcentral is "partial 16S ribosomal RNA". It matches the Rfam family "Bacterial small subunit ribosomal RNA", at positions 524 to 776 of the family's 1533-position model. The record is from RNAcentral.